UACGUAGGAGGCAAGCGUUGUCCGGAAUUACUGGGUGUAAAGCGCGUGUAGGCGGCAGGCCAAGUCUGUGGUGAAAUCGCUCGGCUCAACUGGGCGGGGUCCAUGGAAACUGGUCAGCUGGAGGACGGUAGAGGUGAGUGGAAUUCCCGGUGUAGUGGUGAAAUGCGUAGAUAUCGGGAAGAACACCCGUGGCGAAGGCGGCUCUCUGGGACGGUACUGACGCUGAGACGCGAAAGCGUGGGGAGCGAACAGG
This 253-nucleotide ribosomal RNA is filed under the name uncultured bacterium. Its description in RNAcentral is "partial 16S ribosomal RNA". It matches the Rfam family "Bacterial small subunit ribosomal RNA", at positions 524 to 776 of the family's 1533-position model. The record is from RNAcentral.